RNAcentral lists this ribosomal RNA (274 nucleotides) under uncultured bacterium. RNAcentral describes it as "partial 16S ribosomal RNA". It matches the Rfam family "Bacterial small subunit ribosomal RNA", at positions 523 to 796 of the family's 1533-position model. The record is from RNAcentral.
AUACGAACUGUGCAAACGUUAUUCGGAAUCACUGGGCUUAAAGGGUGCGUAGGCGGGUUUGAAGGUCUGAUGUGACAGCCCACGGCUCAACCGUGGAAUUGCGUUGGAAACCACAAGCCUUGAGGGAGUCAGAGGUGAGCGGAACUAAUGGUGGAGCGGUGAAAUGCGUUGAUAUCAUUAGGAACACCGGUGGCGAAAGCGGCUCACUGGGACUCUUCUGACGCUGAGGCACGAAAGCUAGGGGAGCGAACGGGAUUAGAAACCCCAGUAGUCC